GGAAGACUGGAAGAGAGAUACGUGAUGGACUGACGUCAUUUUGAUUUUCUGUCCAAUGCUCUUGCAGGUCUUGGUGAUUUACUUGAAUAGUGAAGAUGGUCGGAAGCAUUGAUGCUGCGAAUGGAUUGGGAAUUAUGCACUCUGUUCAGAAUUUCAAUGAUUUGGGACUGCAUUGGCGAAAAUUUAAUAAGCAUGAUGUUCUUGAAGUUUAUGUUUAAUAUAACAAUAUAUACAUGAGUUGGUUAUUUUUAGCUUAUGCUUCAUAUGAUAGGU
This 273-nucleotide long non-coding RNA is filed under the name Rosa chinensis. RNAcentral describes it as "sRNA RchiOBHm_Chr7g0184011". The record is from RNAcentral. Lineage: Eukaryota; Viridiplantae; Streptophyta; Magnoliopsida; Rosales; Rosaceae.